Molecule: long non-coding RNA, 4050 nt
Filed under: Capsicum annuum
Lineage: Eukaryota; Viridiplantae; Streptophyta; Magnoliopsida; Solanales; Solanaceae
Description: long non-coding RNA (CANN_LNC003055)
Source: RNAcentral
AUUGCCAAGUUAAAAACGCAUAAAUAUCCCAGUCCUAGCUUUAAGGGCUUUGUCCGCCUACUCUUUUUAUCUGGUCUGUACUCUUGGUCCUUUCUUCUUCCCCAAAGUUGAAAGGCUUACAAAAAUGGAAGUGAUAAUAGUAUCAUCUAAUCAAACAACACCUCCUACUGAGUAAAAGUGAAUACAACGGCUGUAAAUCAAAUACAAUAACUAAAUGGCAUUAUCGUAUAUUGAAUAUAACAAUUAUAAAUGAUAAUUAUGUAAAAUAUAUUGUUUUUCAGUACAAUGUGGCUAUUGCCAAGUUAAAAACGCAUAUAUAUCCCAGUCCUAGCUUUAAGGGCUUUGUCCGCCUACUCUUUUAUCUGGUCUGUACUGUUGGUCCUUUCUUCUUCCCCAAAGUUGAAAGGCUCACAAAAAUGGAAGUGAUAAUAGUAUCAUCUAAUCAAACAACACCUCCUCCUCUUCACCCGCAUGCAAAUCAACCACCCAUUCUCAAAAACUCGCUGUUUUUGGGGCGUCGAGAGCUUUGCUUCGAUAGCAUUUCCUCGGCCUGCUCUGCUGAUCCAAUUUCUUCUCCUCCAUCUACCUCCGCUUUCACUACUCCCAGGUUCGCACAUACCUAUCCUUUUGAUGUAGAAUACUCCCUACAUUUUUUACUGGACAGCGAGUUUAAUAAGCUAAUAAAAUUGUUUGUUAUUUGACAAAUUAGAUGAAUAAUAUGUAUAAUCGGUAUUAAGACUAUCAUGUAAUGCUGGUUGAACAAAAGAGAGCCGCAAUUCAGCUUGUUUAGAUGGUUGUUAUCUAUUCUAUUGUAAGUACUGUGUUAGUUUAAAUAUAACGUUUGUUUUGAUUGUUGCUUUAAUUUUAUUGUAUUGUAUGUUAAAUCCAUCGCUGAAAAGUCUUAUUCGUGUAAGAACUGAUUUAGUGUGAUGGCGUGUUGCUUUUUUUCUCGGUUUGUCUUUACUUAUUUAAUAAUUUUAUUUUAUUCUUUACCCUACAUUUUUUAUAGCAGCUCUAUUCCGUACCCUACAAUUUUUGUAAAUUUAUCAUUUGUUGAUGUGUGACAUUAUGUAAUGUCGAGAAGUGAUACAAUCUAUCCAAACAUUGUGUUUAUCUAAACGAUAAAGUGUGAUGUAAUAUAAUAUAAUACAAUACAUUAUGAAACAAUAUAUAACAACCAUCUAAACAAAGUUAGGGUCAUGCUUUUCCAUCUAUAUCAGUUUAAACUUAUGAGGUGGCUCAUUAAAAUUAAGCACUACUCAGUACUUGUAUUUGCACAUGAUUCCAUGAGCUUUUUUUUUUUUUUUGUCAUGGCUAAUGUCACAGGAGUGGUGGAUCUAAUGGCAAUUCGUUGAUUGAGAAACUACGAAAAAGCUUCCCUUUGGCCACACGGAGGAUGUUGUUAACAAGUUUUUUCAUGUAUUCAUGUUAUCAUCCUUCAAGGUACUUGUCAGGUUCGCACGUUCUUGCUGUUUGUUUCUUUUUCAUUUUUUUCACUUGUUGCCUUUGAAGGCUUUGCCUGCACUUGGAUUGUGUGUUGGACCUCACAAUUGCUGGAUUAAUCUGGCUUUUGUAGUCACAUAUUUCUUAGCAUGUUUAACCAAAUUAAUGCAUAUAUUUGGCAUUUUUCAGUUCCUUCAUUGUAUUCUAAAUUUCCUUUCCCGAGAAAGAUAUUGAUUGUAUGUGAGCUUCCCAAAACGUAGCUGGUAUCAAUACCAGAAAAUGGAGGAGUGAUAAUGGUAGGUUAGUAUAGCAGUCUAAUAGUGAUAAACCUUCUGAAACUAUUAAAAUGAAGCUUAAAUUGAGUGGAAUGAAUAUAGAGAAUUUGUAUAUUGAUUCCGUCCAACUAUAGGUAUAGUUGAUUGCUUAUAGCCUGGGAACCAAGCUGUCGUGACGCAACUGAGCUAGUCCUCUCCCCCUAGAGCAAACCCCUAUUUUUGUAUGGUCGGUUAUGGAAAAAAUGUGAAACUUCAUGUUGAGUGUACUUCCUCGAUCCGUUGUUAAGUUUUCGUUCUUUAUUUGGUUCUAACAUGCAAACUACUAUAUGAUAUACAGCAUUUGCUUUGGGGGAUCCGACUGUCACAGUUGAACAAGUAACACCUUCUACUUUUCCUUCUGCAGCACUUUUCCCUUCCGAGGUUCAGUAUCAUCACCUGUUCAGCUUAUUCUUUAUUGUUCUUGCUAUGUUCUGAUAUAUCGAUCACAUCAUCUGGUAUGUGUCUACUUUGCAGGAAAGAGUUGUGGAGCUCUUUGAAAAGAAUACUUAUGGUGUUGUCAACAUAUUUGAUGUAACCUUGAGACCUACACUUAAUGUUACUGGUAUGGUUGAGGUAAAUUUUAUAGACAUGUGCAAACAUUUACUUUUCCAUUUUCAGCAUUAUGCUAAUCAAACUUUUUGGUAAUUUAGCUUUGGCAAUAUCUUGAACGUAAAAUUUCUCAUGUCCACGGAUUUUCUGUCUUCAUCUGUAUGGUGCCUCAACCAACACAACUUUUGUGCCUCUGUAAAUAAUCUGUGUUUGAAAGCAGCUGCAUCAAUAUGUUUAAACAAUGGCAGAUUCCUGAAGGAAAUGGUUCGGGGGCGAUUUGGGACAAGGAAGGCCACAUUGUUACUAAUUACCAUGGUAAGAUCACUUCAAUACGGUACCUGAGUGCAUUAGUUAUUUUGUGUAAUAUACUCCAUUCAUCCCAAGAAUAUAUGGUUCCGGAGUAUGAGAGUCAAACUGCCUAAUUUUUGGUGCGAUGUUGGAAUCAAUUUUUCUUACAUUUAGGGGACUAAUAAAGGCGUCAUCUGAAAAAUAGAAUUGAAUUCUAUGAUCCAAAAACCACCUUCAAUGUAUUGGAUGGGCUGUGCAAUUCUUGGUUAAACAGUUCUCUUUAUAUGUCCAGUGAUUGGCAACUCCCUUUCUAAAAACCCAAGCCGUGGGCAAGUAGUUGCACGUGUUAAUAUUCUCGCUGCAGAUGGGUGAGUUAUAUUCUAUUUUAGCAUAUACUUAAUCGGGAUGAUGCAGCUUCAUCCUGCUCUCCAUGCUAUGUCCUCACUCUCAUUAUUUUAUUUUGUUUCUUUCUGAAUGGUACAAAAGAAUUUUGAGGGUAAAUUAAUUGGUGCAGACCGUGCGAAGGAUCUUGCUGUGUUGAAGGUAAGCAUUAUUUCCAGAAUCCUAUUUUUGUCAAAAACUGGAGAAUUCUUAAGUUCAUGGCUAUCUUUGCUUUAGUUAUGCCAUCCUGUUCUUAUUUCUCGCAUAGCUGUAGUUUGAAUGUUUGAUUGUCAUUUUUCCCCAUUGCAUUUUUCUUUUCCCUGUUGCCUCUCUCUUUAGCUGAGAAUCCAAGUGUCCCGCUUCAACUUCUAGGUCAUGAUAAAUUGUUUUCUUCUGCAAGCAAUUAAGGAUCUGCUGACACAUACUAAAUGCAUGAUAAUGGUUGCAAAUGAACCAAUUGUUGAUCUGAUUUGUUCAUUCUAUUUCUUCAUUGGUAUAACUAAGCGGCGGAAGGUUUAGCUUUAGUUUUACUGGACUUGUGAUUGUCAACGACAACAACAACAUACCAAGUGUGAUCCCACAAAUGGGGUCUGGAGAGGGUAGAGUGUACACAGACCUUAUCCUACCUUGGUGAGGUAGAUAGUUUGUUUCCAAUCGACUCCUGGCUCAAGAAAAACAUUUUAAAAAUAGGUUUGAAUAAUACAAGAGCGAAAGAUGCUCUAAUGACAUACUAAGAAAAUAGAAUUAUACUAUUGACAACAAACAUUGUAAGAUACCAAAGCAAGAGAAUCAAACGUAGUGAUAAAAUUGAAGAAUUAGAUACAACAACAACAUACCCAGUAUAUUCCCACAAAGUGGGGUGAAGAAUUAGAUAGUACUACAACUGGAAAGGAGAAUAGGGAGCAGAUAAGGUGCUCCAAGCUACAACUCUGCUCUUCCACAAGAAAGAGAGAAAACUCUGGACUACCUACUAACCUUCUACUCUAAUCCUUGAUAUCCAUGCUCUCCUAUCUAGGGUCAUUGUCUUCGGUCUACCUCUAUCUCUCCUUAAGUCUAUCACUUCCAACACCUCCUC